This 468-nucleotide ribosomal RNA is filed under the name uncultured bacterium. Its description in RNAcentral is "partial 16S ribosomal RNA". It matches the Rfam family "Bacterial small subunit ribosomal RNA", at positions 28 to 507 of the family's 1533-position model. The record is from RNAcentral.
GACGAACGCUGGCGGCGUGCUUAACACAUGCAAGUCGAACGGAAAGGCCCUGCUUUUGUGGGGUGCUCGAGUGGCGAACGGGUGAGUAACACGUGAGUAACCUGCCCUUGACUUUGGGAUAACUUCAGGAAACUGGGGCUAAUACCGGAUAGGAGCUCCUGCUGCAUGGUGGGGGUUGGAAAGUUUCGGCGGUUGGGGAUGGACUCGCGGCUUAUCGGCUUGUUGGUGGGGUAGUGGCUUACCAAGGCUUUGACGGGUAGCCGGCCUGAGAGGGUGGCCGGGCCCCAUGGGACUAGGGCAACGGCCCAGGGGGCAGCGGAGGGAAGGGGGGGGGAAGUUGGGAAACGGGGCGGAGUGCUUAAGGAGAAACCCCGGGGCGGAAAGGGCGGUUUUGGGGUGGAAACCGCCUUUCACGUGUCUAAAAGCGUCGUGGCGGUUAAUGGGUAAAAAAGCACGGCUAACUACGGG